RNAcentral lists this ribosomal RNA (519 nucleotides) under uncultured bacterium. Its description in RNAcentral is "bacterial SSU rRNA". It matches the Rfam family "Bacterial small subunit ribosomal RNA", at positions 28 to 526 of the family's 1533-position model. The record is from RNAcentral.
GACGAACGCUGGCGGCGUGCCUAACACAUGCAAGUCGAACGGAGAUUUCAGCAAUGAAAUCUUAGUGGCGAACGGGUGAGUAACGCGUAGACAACCUACCGCUUAGAUGGGGACAACACUGCGAAAGUGGUGCUAAUACCGAAUGUUGUAUCGAUGAUGCAUAUUGUUGAUACUAAAGAUGGCCUCUAUUUAUAAGCUAUCGCUAAGUGAUGGGUCUGCGUCUGAUUAGCUAGUUGGUGAGGUAAUGGCUCACCAAGGCGACGAUCAGUAGCCGGUCUGAGAGGAUGAACGGCCACACUGGGACUGAGACACGGCCCAGACUCCUACGGGAGGCAGCAGUGGGGAAUCUUCCGCAAUGGACGAAAGUCUGACGGAGCAACGCCGCGUGAGUGAAGAAGGUUUUCGGAUCGUAAAACUCUGUUUUCAGGGACGAAUGUGCAGUGUGUAAAUAAUGCAUUGUAAUGACGGUACCUGAGUAGAAAGCCACGGCUAACUACGUGCCAGCCGCCGCCGUAACAC